RNAcentral lists this ribosomal RNA (393 nucleotides) under uncultured bacterium. RNAcentral's name for it is "partial 16S ribosomal RNA". It matches the Rfam family "Bacterial small subunit ribosomal RNA", at positions 523 to 918 of the family's 1533-position model. The record is from RNAcentral.
AUACGGAGGAUCCGAGCGUUAUCCGGAUUUAUUGGGUUUAAAGGGUGCGCAGGCGGGAGAUUAAGUCGGCGGUGAAAUUUUGCAGCUCAACUGUAAAAGUGCCUUCGAAACUGGUUUCCUUGAGUGUAGAUGGAGUAGGCGGAAUUUGUGGUGUAGCGGUGGAAUGCAUAGAUAUCACGAGGAACUCCGAUUGCGCAGGCAGCUUACUAAACUACUACUGACGCUCAGGCACGAAGGCGUGGGGAUCAAACAGGAUUAGAUACCCUGGUAGUCCACGCAGUAAACGAUGAUUACUAGCUGUUUGCGAUACAAUGUAAGCGGCUGAGCGAAAGCGUUAAGUAAUCCACCUGGGGAGUACGUUCGCAAGAAUGAAACUCAAAUGAAUUGACGGGG